GAUGAACGCUGGCGGCGUGCCUAAUACAUGCAAGUCGAGCGGCCGGACGAGAAGCGUGCGCCUUUGAGGUUAGCGGCGGACGGACGAGUAACACGUGGAUAACCUACCUAUAUUACUGGGAGAACAUCGGGAAACCGGAGAUAAUACUGCAUCAUAUGUCGAACGGCAUGGAUCAAGAGAUAAACACGGCCUUCCUGAUACUUAUAGCUGGAUCCGCGCUGCAUUAGCUAGUUGGUAAGGUAACGGCUUACCAAGGCAACGAUGCGUAGCCGACCUGAGAGGAUGAUCAGCCACACUGGAACUGAGACACGGUCCAGACUCCUACGGGAGGCAGCAGUAGGGAAUCUUGGACAAUGGGCGCAAGCCUGAUGGAGCAACGCCGCGUGAGUGAAGAAGGUCUUCGGAUCGUAAAGCUCUUUUAUUGGGAAAGAAAAGAUGUAUGUUUAAAUCUGCAUGUCUUGACGGUACCUAAUCAGAAAGCAACGGCUAACUUCGUG
RNAcentral lists this ribosomal RNA (497 nucleotides) under uncultured bacterium. RNAcentral describes it as "partial 16S ribosomal RNA". It matches the Rfam family "Bacterial small subunit ribosomal RNA", at positions 28 to 507 of the family's 1533-position model. The record is from RNAcentral.